GUUGAGGAGGCGGUGACUGUGGCGGUGUAGGUGGAAGCGGCGGUGGAGGAGGAGGAGGUAGCUGUUUGAUAUAUAUAUAUAUAUAUAUAUAUAUAUAUAUAUAUUUUUUUUUUUUAAUUGGGGUUGCCCCCAAAAUAUUAGGACAUAUAAAAAAAUACAACUCUGUUCCGCAGAGUAGCUGUUGACAUUAUAGUUGCGCAGGCAAUUUGUUGACUCUAGAGAACCUCGGGCAAAUAGUACAUCCCCGUGACGGCGACUUUGCAUUCGGAUGUCAUCCAUAUCAACUUUUGAUGCCAGUUUCUGCACCUACCAUGGUGACCACGGGUAAUGGGGACUCAGGGUUACAUUCCAUGCAUGGACCCUGAGAAACGGUUACCACAUGCAAGGAAGGCAGCAGGCGCCCAAAUGACUUACUUCCGACGCGGGAAGGUAGUGACGAC
Non-coding RNA from Pelobates cultripes (western spadefoot toad), 440 nucleotides. NCBI's taxonomy places the organism in Eukaryota, Metazoa, Chordata, Amphibia, Anura, Pelobatidae. The record is from the annotation of a GenBank genome assembly.